UCCAUUCUUUAGUUCAUUGAUCAAGUAUCUAGGAGUAAUUUCAACUUUUAAGUUUAAUUAUUUAAGAAAUAUAUUUUUAUAGGGCAAUAGCUUGUACAUGUUACAGGAUAUGCUUUACAAUAAAAAAAGAUAAAAAUUUUCUUGUAAUAUGGAGACCCUAACCAUUGUUUUAGAAAAAGUCAUUUUAAAUUUUUUUUCAUUCUUUAUAAUGACAUCCUGUUAUUAGAGUUGAAAUAAAAUGUGAAAGUAACAAAUUUCUCAUGACAUAUGCAAUGAUCAAGCAUGUGCUUGGGGUUGAUAUGCUU
This 305-nucleotide long non-coding RNA is filed under the name Pan troglodytes (chimpanzee). RNAcentral's name for it is "long non-coding RNA NONPTRT002014". Lineage: Eukaryota; Metazoa; Chordata; Mammalia; Primates; Hominidae. The record is from RNAcentral.